This 1247-nucleotide ribosomal RNA is filed under the name Lysinibacillus sphaericus. RNAcentral describes it as "bacterial SSU rRNA". It matches the Rfam family "Bacterial small subunit ribosomal RNA", at positions 119 to 1375 of the family's 1533-position model. The record is from RNAcentral. Lineage: Bacteria; Bacillati; Bacillota; Bacilli; Caryophanales; Bacillaceae.
GGGCAACCUACCCUAUAGUUUGGGAUAACUCCGGGAAACCGGGGCUAAUACCGAAUAAUCUUUUGUCCCUCAUGGGACAAUACUGAAAGACGGUUUCGGCUGUCGCUAUAGGAUGGGCCCGCGGCGCAUUAGCUAGUUGGUGAGGUAACGGCUCACCAAGGCAACGAUGCGUAGCCGACCUGAGAGGGUGAUCGGCCACACUGGGACUGAAGACACGGCCCAGACUCCUACGGGAGGCAGCAGUAGGGAAUGGAGCAACGCCGCGUGAGUGAAGAAGGAUUUCGGUUCGUAAAACUCUGUUGUAAGGGAAGAACAAGUACAGUAGUAACUGGCUGUACCUUGACGGUACCUUAUUAGAAAGCCACGGCUAACUACGUGCCAGCAGCCGCGGUAAUACGUAGGUGGCAAGCGUUGUCCGGAAUUAUUGGGCGUAAAGCGCGCGCAGGUGGUUUCUUAAGUCUGAUGUGAAAGCCCACGGCUCAACCGUGGAGGGUCAUUGGAAACUGGGAGACUUGAGUGCAGAAGAGGAUAGUGGAAUUCCAAGUGUAGCGGUGAAAUGCGUAGAGAUUUGGAGGAACACCAGUGGCGAAGGCGACUAUCUGGUCUGUAACUGACACUGAGGCGCGAAAGCGUGGGGAGCAAACAGGAUUAGAUACCCUGGUAGUCCACGCCGUAAACGAUGAGUGCUAAGUGUUAGGGGGUUUCCGCCCCUUAGUGCUGCAGCUAACGCAUUAAGCACUCCGCCUGGGGAGUACGGUCGCAAGACUGAAACUCAAAGGAAUUGACGGGGGCCCGCACAAGCGGUGGAGCAUGUGGUUUAAUUCGAAGCAACGCGAAGAACCUUACCAGGUCUUGACAUCCCGUUGACCACUGUAGAGAUAUGGUUUUCCCUUCGGGGACAACGGUGACAGGUGGUGCAUGGUUGUCGUCAGCUCGUGUCGUGAGAUGUUGGGUUAAGUCCCGCAACGAGCGCAACCCUUGAUCUUAGUUGCCAUCAUUUAGUUGGGCACUCUAAGGUGACUGCCGGUGACAAACCGGAGGAAGGUGGGGAUGACGUCAAAUCAUCAUGCCCCUUAUGACCUGGGCUACACACGUGCUACAAUGGACGAUACAAACGGUUGCCAACUCGCGAGAGGGAGCUAAUCCGAUAAAGUCGUUCUCAGUUCGGAUUGUAGGCUGCAACUCGCCUACAUGAAGCCGGAAUCGCUAGUAAUCGCGGAUCUGCAUGCCGCGGUGAAUACGUUCCC